This 468-nucleotide ribosomal RNA is filed under the name uncultured bacterium. RNAcentral's name for it is "partial 16S ribosomal RNA". It matches the Rfam family "Bacterial small subunit ribosomal RNA", at positions 28 to 507 of the family's 1533-position model. The record is from RNAcentral.
GACGAACGCUGGCGGCGUGCUUAACACAUGCAAGUCGAACGGAAAGGCCCUGCUUUUGUGGGGUGCUCGAGUGGCGAACGGGUGAGUAACACGUGAGUAACCUGCCCUUGACUUUGGGAUAACUUCACGAAACUGGGGCUAAUACCGGAUAGGAGCUCCUGCUGCAUGGUGGGGGUUGGAAAGUUUCGGCGGUUGGGGAUGGACUCGCGGCUUAUCAGCUUGUUGGUGGGGUAGUGGCUUACCAAGGCUUUGACGGGUAGCCGGCCUGAGAGGGUGACCGGCCACAUUGGGACUGAGAUACGACCCAGACUCCUGCGGGAUGCAGCAGUGGGGAAUAUUGCACAAUGGGCGGAAGCCUGAUGCAGCAACGCCGCGUGCGGUAUGACGGCCUUCGGGUUGUAAACCGCUUUCGCCUGUGACGAGGCUUGAGUGACGGUAAUGGGUAAAGAAGCACCGGCUAACUACGUG